UACAAGUGCUAUUUAAAAUCCACUUCGAAUAAGUUCUCAUAAGGAAAAUUUUACAUAUUUAUAUAUAUAAUACAGAGCUUAGAAAAUAUGAAACUUCAGUAACAAUGUAUUUUAUGUCUUUUUUUUUAACUUAAAAAUUGUGUUAUUUUACAAUUAUUUAAAAGCCCCUCAAACUGGGGAUCAAGCUUCUAAUUGCAUAAUUUUAAACACAACUAUUAAUAUAAAAAACUAUAUAAUAAAAUAUCCA
This 247-nucleotide unclassified non-coding RNA is filed under the name Hevea brasiliensis (rubber tree). The record is from RNAcentral. Lineage: Eukaryota; Viridiplantae; Streptophyta; Magnoliopsida; Malpighiales; Euphorbiaceae.